GAUGAACGCUAGCUACAGGCUUAACACAUGCAAGUCGAGGGGCAGCAUUAUCGAAGCUUGCUUUGAUAGAUGGCGACCGGCGCACGGGUGAGUAACGCGUAUCCAACCUUCCCCUUAGUAGGGCAUAGCCCGUAGAAAUGCGGAUUAAUACCCUAUGUUGUAUUAUGAGGACAUCUGAAUAAUACCAAAGGUUCACCGCUAAGGGAUGGGGAUGCGUCUGAUUAGGUUGUUGGCGGGGUAACGGCCCACCAAGCCAUCGAUCAGUAGGGGUUCUGAGAGGAAGGUCCCCCACAUUGGAACUGAGACACGGUCCAAACUCCUACGGGAGGCAGCAGUGAGGAAUAUUGGUCAAUGGGCGAGAGCCUGAACCAGCCAAGUAGCGUGCAGGAUGACGGCCCUAUGGGUUGUAAACUGCUUUUAUACAGGGAUAAAGUCGGGGACGUGUCCCCGUUGUAGGUA
This 459-nucleotide ribosomal RNA is filed under the name bacterium AE2035. RNAcentral's name for it is "bacterial SSU rRNA". It matches the Rfam family "Bacterial small subunit ribosomal RNA", at positions 28 to 477 of the family's 1533-position model. The record is from RNAcentral.